GACGAACGCUGGCGGCGUGCUUAACACAUGCAAGUCGAACGGAAAGGCCCUGCUUGCAGGGUACUCGAGUGGCGAACGGGUGAGUAACACGUGGGUGAUCUGCCCUGCACUUCGGGAUAAGCCUGGGAAACUGGGUCUAAUACCGGAUAGGAGCCAUUUUUAGUGUGAUGGUUGGAAAGUUUUUUCGGUGUAGGAUGAGCUCGCGGCCUAUCAGCUUGUUGGUGGGGUAAUGGCCUACCAAGGCGGCGACGGGUAGCCGGCCUGAGAGGAUGGACGGCCACAUUGGGACUGAGAUACGGCCCAGACUCCUACGGGAGGCAGCAGUGGGGAAUAUUGCACAAUGGGCGCAAGCCUGAUGCAGCGACGCCGCGUGGGGGAUGACGGCCUUCGGGUUGUAAACUCCUUUCGCUAGGGACGAAGCUUUUUGUGACGGUACCUAGAGAAGAAGCACCGGCUAACUACGUG
RNAcentral lists this ribosomal RNA (465 nucleotides) under uncultured bacterium. RNAcentral describes it as "partial 16S ribosomal RNA". It matches the Rfam family "Bacterial small subunit ribosomal RNA", at positions 28 to 507 of the family's 1533-position model. The record is from RNAcentral.